GUUUGCGCGCACCAAAUUAAUACAAUUGAUUUGAACUGAAUAUUCGUUUUUCAAAACGCUCAUUUCCACUCGGAAUUCAUUUUAAAAAAAUAAGGAAAUUAAAUAGUGAAAGUGAAAUAUAGAACACCGAAUGUUGGAUUAAAAGUGGCUUUGUUAAAAUCCACUCGAAAGGGAAUUACAGAAUCUGCCCGAUAGAUCUAGAUUAAAUAAAAGUUUGGAAUCGACAACAUACUUAUAAGAAUCAAUAAUUGUCCGAAUAUCAAGUUUCUAGAUUUAAAACAUGUAUGGCAUUUGGUUGUUGUCUUGGAUGCAGUCAGAAAUAUACUGAAAAAGUUUUCUUUACACGAUCUGAGCCCGUAUAUAAACUGUCAAAGUCAUUGUCAAAGGUUUGUCAUAUCCUGAAUAUAUGAAAAGUGCGUUGAAGCUAACACCAAAAACGAAAACAAAAAUUUUGUUUGUCGUUCUGUCAUCAAUAUAUUUACCAUUAUUAGUUCACGAAAACAUUCGCUAAACGCACUGAUGACCAGCGAGAGAAUGAUAAUAAUAACAGUCGUAAAGGCAUUACAGCUUUGCGUUCUACAAUAAAGUGGAUAGGCAUAGAAUGGAACGAGUUCGGGCGCAUCGAUCAUAACAGCAGCGCGCAUGGGAAAAUGAAACUAAUUGAAUCCUCAAAUGCAAAGCUUCAGUGAACCUAGAACGAGAUCAAUCUCUAACGAUACGGAAAUAGAUUAUAAUGCCAAAAUUCGAUUAAUGUCAAUAAUUUGUCGACAUUGUAAAGCUUAAAAUACAGAUGUGAAUCUGUGGGAUUGUUGUUGUUGCCACUGCUGCGGCUGGUUAUGCAGUUAGUUCAUUUAAAGCUUUCUUAUAAACUAUAUUAUUUCUCUUUUUUUGCGGUGUGAAAUUCGCCGGGUCAUAUAUUAAAUUACAGUUUCCUUGGACUACAUAUUUAUUAUCGACGAUUCGUUCCAAAUUUUGUCAUCGUAGCUAGUGGCUUUUACGAACUCACGAAAAAGAACAGAGUCUUUGAUUGGAAUAAACAACAGGAAGUGGAUUUUCAAACUCUGAAGAAACGGCAGUUUACUGCGGAAAUGUUAACAUACACGUUCCCAGGAUCAGCGUUUAUUUUGGAUACUAGUGGGUAUGCAGUAGGAGGAGUUCUAUCACAAGUCAUUGGUGGGCAUGGGACAGUAGUUGCGUACUACAGUCAGACAAUAAGCAAGAUAGAGAGAAAUUAUUGUGUAACUCGGAGGAAAUUACUGGCGUUGGUGAAAUGCAGCAAACGUUUUCAUAAGUACCUUUAUGGCCAAAGUUUUCACGUAAGGACAGAUCAUGCAGCAUUAAAAUGACAUGCAGCACAUUUCAAUAACUCAGAGGGAAAGUUGGCACAAUAUAUUGAGGGACUCUUAAGUUCUCUAUAGAACAUCGCAAAGGUAGUAAUCAUGGAAAUGCGGAUGCGAUGUCCCAACAUCCUUGUAGCUUCGAAUGCAGACAUUGCUCAAAAGCUGAGACUAAACAAGAAAUUAUAGAUGUCCGAUUAAUGACAAUCAUACCAGACUGGGAUAAGGAGGAACAACGGAAAUGUAAAAGCAAGAAUAUCCAGAUUUGAAAUGUGUAAUACAUGGAUUGGAGAUGAAUAAACGUUCAACGAGAGAAGAAAUAGCUGCAUAAUGUCCAGUCGCAAAGGCGUAUUGGACACAAUGGAAUAGUAUGAAGUGUCUGGGUGCUUGCAUCGCAGGGAAAGCGAAGUACGGCAAAGGUCACGAGCUCUGAUGAUUGUUCCGAAAGUAAGUGGAAGACACAUGGGUUUCACUAAAACCUAGGGGAAAUUUAAAAACGAUUUUAUUGGGUUGAUUGUCAUCAAUCAGUUACGGAGUGGAUCGCCAAUUGUGCCGAGUGCAUUGCAGCUAAAGGGCCGAGGUCCAGGAGUCAUAGCCAGAUGAAGUAGUACAAUUCAGAUGUGCCGUUUGACCGAAUUGCAAUGAAUGUCGCUGGUCCAUUUCCCACCAUUAAGUUAGGAAACAAGUAUGUUUUGGUAGUCAUGAACUAUUUCAGCAAAUGGCCAGAGGUAUACGCAGUUCUUAACCAAGAGGCAGAAACAGUAGCGGUCAUAUUCAUUAACAAUUCUAAUAGAAUUUCAUUCUGAACAAGGGAGGAGUUUUGAAUCAGCGUAAUUGUACCAGAAUCAGGGUAUUCGGAAAACCCGUACAACUGCACUACAUUUGCAGUAUGAUGGCAUGGUAGAACGAUUCAACCGAAAGUUGGAAGAACAUUUGACGAAAGUUGUGAACGAGUAUCAAAAAUAUUGGGAUACCAAUAUAUCGGGUACGUUCGAGAUGGCAAUCACGACAGCAGUGUUGCAAGUUUGUCAAAGUAAUACGUUCUGCGUGAGUUUAUGGCAACACUUGCAGCAGCAUCACGUUCUACUGUCACUUUUUGCGCGCAAUUUAUGCAAAUAAUCGGCAACAUUAAAUUUUUGUCUGCACAUCAGCAAAUAGUCAACACAGUUGCUGUACUGCUGUAAUUAUUACAUAACUCGAAAGCACCCAUCCUUGUUCCCGAUGGCUUAUCGGUUUGCUGUACAUGAAACAACAGGACAGACUCCAGCAAGGCCAACGGAGGAAAACAUGCCAUGGUAGUGAAGCACAUACAGAUCAUUAACCUUGGACAUUGGAAUAAAAUGCAAGUGUAUCGUCUGGAAAGCCUUGCAGCGGUUGGUACUGCGAAUAUGUCUAAUGAAAAUAGAAUCGACGAUAAAUUGCUGGAAUCAACUCGACAGCGAAAUUGUAGUUACCAGACUUUUCGAGUGGCGAAGUUGUGUUUACAAUCUACAACAUACGGGCUGCCGGAUUGUACAGCAGGUACACAAUUCCGAUUAGAGUGCUGCUUAAUAAAGAACUAUAAGCAAUUAGGUGUAAACGCGAAUAACGAGUGAUAAGUGUUAAGUUGUUUAAAUUAAAAAAAAAAUGUGUAUAGCCA
Bactrocera oleae (olive fruit fly) is the source of this 2976-nucleotide long non-coding RNA. RefSeq lists it as uncharacterized. The record is from RefSeq and is a predicted model, not a curated record. Lineage: Eukaryota; Metazoa; Arthropoda; Insecta; Diptera; Tephritidae.